Molecule: transfer RNA, 87 nt
Filed under: Methylobacterium sp.
Lineage: Bacteria; Pseudomonadati; Pseudomonadota; Alphaproteobacteria; Hyphomicrobiales; Methylobacteriaceae
Also listed under: 14 other names
Description: tRNA-Leu
Rfam family: tRNA
About the family: Transfer RNA (tRNA) molecules are approximately 80 nucleotides in length. Their secondary structure includes four short double-helical elements and three loops (D, anti-codon, and T loops).
Source: RNAcentral
GCGGACGUGGCGAAACUGGUAGACGCAAGAGACUUAAAAUCUCUCAGCCGCAAGGCUAUGCGGGUUCGAUCCCCGCCGUCCGCACCA